GACGAACGCUGGCGGCGUGCUUAACACAUGCAAGUCGAACGGAAAGGCCCUGCUUUUGUGGGGUGCUCGAGUGGCGAACGGGUGAGUAACACGUGAGUAACCUGCCCUUGACUUUGGGAUAACUUCAGGAAACUGGGGCUAAUACCGGAUAGGAGCUCCUGCUGCAUGGUGGGGGUUGGAAAGUUUCGGCGGUUGGGGAUGGACUCGCGGCUUAUCAGCUUGUUGGUGGGGUAGUGGCUUACCAAGGCUUUGACGGGUAGCCGGCCUGAGAGGGUGACCGGCCACAUGGGGUGUGAGAAGCGGCCGCGGCCCCAGGGGGGGAAGGGGGGGGGAAUUUGACAAAAGGGGGGGAGGCCGAGGGCAACAACGCCGGGGGGGGAAGGACGGCUUUGGGGUUUGAAACCGCUUUGGCUUGGAACGAGGGGUGGGGAAGGGAAAGGGUAAAAAAGGACCCGGCAAACUAGGG
This 466-nucleotide ribosomal RNA is filed under the name uncultured bacterium. RNAcentral describes it as "partial 16S ribosomal RNA". It matches the Rfam family "Bacterial small subunit ribosomal RNA", at positions 28 to 492 of the family's 1533-position model. The record is from RNAcentral.